Molecule: long non-coding RNA, 21573 nt
Filed under: Gossypium barbadense (sea-island cotton)
Lineage: Eukaryota; Viridiplantae; Streptophyta; Magnoliopsida; Malvales; Malvaceae
Description: long non-coding RNA (GBAR_LNC005739)
Source: RNAcentral
CAAAUUGAAUAAAGUGUGAAAAUUUAAUUGUAGAUUAAAAGAAAAUAAAGAGGACCAAAAUGGCAAUUAUGCCAUUUGUCUUAAGUGAGGCCGCAGAUGCAUAAAAAUCUUUAAUUUUUAUGCAUAAAUAUGUAUAUUAAAUUAUUAUUAUUAUUUAUUAUGGUUUUAUAUUUGAUAUUUAUUAAUGUUAUUCUUAUUAAAUUGAUAUUUAUUAUGAAAUAAAUUAAAAGUUGACAAAUGUAUGGUAAUAAAUAUACAUGUGUAAUGAAUUAAAUAUGUAGUGACUAAUUUUGGCUCGGACCCGCUAAAAACCCCAAACCUAUAUAUAAAUAUAAAAUAAAUAAAUAAAUAGUAAAAUAACCACAGUCCAUUUACAGGCUUUGACCCAAAACCCAAACAACAAGCCCAGCUACAUAACCCCAUCAGCCCAAAACCAAUAACUAAACCAUGACCCAAAACCCAAUUUUAACUUAACCCAAAUUUACAAGGCCCGAUAGGCCCAGAAUAUUAAACCAAGACAAACCCUAAGUCACCCCCUUUCUCCUGCGCCGCAACAGCAACCUGACAGCAGCUCCAUGCCUCCGUACGCCCCAGCCUCCUGGCGCCACGCCCACGCCCCGUACGCCAGCGCACACCCGUACCUGCAAGCAGACAAACAGAGCAGCAGCGAAUAGAAACAAAAAUAUAUUGUAUGUUUUCGAUUUAUUUUUCUCUUUUUUCGGCGAUAAAAGCCAAGCUUUUAAUCGUUGUAAAGGUACGAAUACAAAAUAGGCAAUACGAACACAAAGAUAAUAACAAUCAAUCGAAAAAACAGAGGAGGUGAUUUUCCCUUCUCUUUUUUGAAUUCUCUGCUCUUUCUAUUUUUAUUUACUCGAUUUCUUUAUUAUUUUAUCAUCAAAAAGAAGCAAAAGAAAGUGAAGAAAUUUAUCUGCGUUCCGAAGCCUUCGAGUCCCUGCUUGUUCCGCCACCAUCGAAACACAGUGGCGAUUUGGGGCUGGUAAGCAAGACCCACGGAUCCCCUUGGUUCAAUGAAGCCUCGAUUGACUGUUCUAGGGGUUGAAAGGAGAGGCAGAGGAACAGUCGUGGGUAACCAUCGGUCGGCCGAAUAUUGAAGGGAGAAGUUUUGAUCUUUUUCUUCUUUUCUUCAUAUGAGCGGCUGAGCAUUUUCCUAGGGUUAGUUUAGGCUCUUAUGGGGGGGGUAUUAGGUGAUGCUGUUUGGGCCAAUGUCAAUGGUCUUAAAACAAUACCUUUUGGGUAGCCCUAUACCCGAUAAUCCGACCCGCACAAACUCAAGGUUCGCGUGCCUGGUCUUGGAUGGGUUAUUUUCGGCACAAGUCCCUCCCCUUUCGCGCCAUAUUCAAAUCAGCCAAUGUCCUUGUCUUGUUCGUUUUUUAAUUUGGCCCUGUAACUUACAUCCGUUUGCAAUCUAACCCACUCCUAAACGCAGCGUUUUGGAAUCUGGUAUAUUUCCAACUUUAGUCCCUAUAUGUUUUUGCGCGUUGGAUGUUGGUCCUCUUAUCAUUACUGUUUUAUCUUCUAAUUACCCCAUGUGUUUUAGUUUAAUUUUAAUCGAGUCCUUUUAUUUUAUAUCCCUUUUUAUUUGAUUUUAUUUGUAAAUUUUAAUUAAUCUUGAUAAUUGCUUCUUCAUUCUUGUAGAUUCGUUUUUCGUAAUGUUAUUAUCACAUUUUGUACAUUUUAAAUGUUCAUUUCCUUUGUAUUACUAUACAUAUUAUGUAUAUAUUAUAAUAAAGUUAAUGUAUUUUCAUACAUAUAAUGACUUUUGACUCUAUCCUUGUAUUUUAAUACGUAUUUUUUUGCUAUUCAAAUGUGCUUUGUAUAUAUAUAUUUUAUAUAAGAUUUAAGUUAUUUUAUAUUCAUUUAUAUUAGUAUAUGUAUUUGAUUCAAAUACAUUACUAAACCUAAACAUAUUAUCAUUUUUAUAUAAAUUUACACGUAUUUACAUGUGCAUAUAUACGUACUAACACACUUAUUACUUUAAUAUAUUUUUCAUUAUAAAAUACCCUUCUUUGUGAUUUACCAAAUAUUUUCUUUAUGUAUAUAUGAAGUAAUUUUAGAAACUCUUUCAAUUAAAAUUUUUUUUUUAUGUUUCUUUAUAUUACAUUGCUUUUGUAUUUUAUAUAAUCUAUCAUUUAAAUGUUUUAAUAUAGGGGUGUGUAUAAUUUUUAGGCUAUUUUAAAAAUUUAUAUAUAUCUUAUUAUUAAUCUCAUGUUCUUUUUAUAAUAUACUCGCAUGUACAUAUGUUCUAUAAAUCUAUUUUGCGCAUCUUUAUCAUUCUUUUGCAUCAUAUUUUAUCUAAAUUAUCACAUACUUUGUCAACUUUUAAAUGAAUUUGUGUUUAAAUUAUUUUACAUAUGAUUUAAUUCAAACUUUCAUUUUCUAAUAUCUAUUUCAAUAGUUAUGUUUGUUCCUAGUUUCUAUUCAAACUUGUCAACUUAUACAGCACGAGUUUAUUAAUCUUAUACCAUUUUGACUUCUAAAUUCCAUUAUGUUUUCCAUAUACUUUAUUGGUUGUUAUAUAUAUAUAUACAUUCCUUGCAUGGUAUCCAUCUUAUUGAAUUGUUAAUUACUCAUCAUACAUGAUUGAAAUUAGGUUAUAAUUUCUAGAUUAAUUAUAUUUUAAUUGAUUAUUCUGCUAAUCGAUUAAUAUUCUUGUUCAUCAAACAUCGUACCAUCAUAUGUGCCUUUUACCCCAUAUCAUCGUUUCACUUGAUUUUUGAAAUGUGGUUCUAUAAAACCCAAAUUUUUAUGAUUAAUUUUAUCUUAUUUCAAAUCCAAUUAAUACGUCUUAAGCUAGCUUUAUAACCAUUCAUUCAAAAAUUCUUUAAAACGAAGACGAGAUCUGAUAUGUUGCAAUUCGCGGAAUCGUGCCAUAAUGUGUUGGGUUGCAAUUUCGCAUUUGCUCAAAAUAAUCGAAUAUCAUUUCAAAAUUUCACUCAUAUCUUUUAAAAUCCCUUAAACGAAGGCGAUAUGCGAUAUUUGGCAAUUCGUGGAAUCGUGCCCUAACGUGUUGGGUUGCAAUUUCUCGUUUGUUUAAAAUAAUCAAAUAUCCCUUCAAAAUUUCACUCAGGUCUUCUAAAAAUCCUUUAAAAUGAAGGUAAUACUCGGUGUUUGACAAUUCAAGAAUCAUGCCUUUUCGUGCUGGGUUGUGAUUUCUCGUUUGUUCAAAACAAUCGAAUAUUCCUUUAGGUUUUCAUUCAUGUUUAUUAAAAACCUUUCAAAAUGAAGGCGAUGUUCGAUGUUUGGCGAUUUGAGAAUCGAGCCCUAUUGUGUUGGGUUGCGCUUUUUCAUUCGCUCAAAACAAUCGAAGAUCCCUUCAGAAUUUCACUCGUAUUUUCUAAGGUGAGGUAAUGUUUGAUGUUCGGAAAUUCGAGGAAUCGUGCCCUACUGUGCUGGGUUUCGAUUUUGCGUUGGACCAAAUAGUUGGGCAUCCUUUUGUUAAUUUCAAAUUAUAAACUUUCAGACGUCGAAACAAGAAGAUUUUUAGCAACCAACUCGGGUUAUUCAAAUGUUAUUAACAAGAACCGCAUUUCAAAAACAUUUUUAAUUUUAGACAUAAGGACAGUAUUUAAUUGAUUUGGUACCAAUUUUGGGCGUAAUGAGGGUGCUAAUCCUUCCUCAUACGUAACCGACUCCCGAGCCCGUUUUCUCAUAUUUUCGUAGACCAAAAUCGUUGUUUUAGAGAACCAAAAAUGUUUUAUUAAAAUAACUAAAUUCUUAGGCGACCCGAUCAUACCAAAACAAAAGGAUCGGUGGUGACUCCAUGAAUUUGUUUUUCAAACAGUCGAUUCCCCUCGUAUUUUCAUUAAAUGUUAAAAUUUUAAAAGAUUUUUAAAUAAAAGGGGUGGUUUCGACAAAAUACAUACAUGAGUAAUACAAUUAUAUAAUUACUUAUAAUAUAAGAAUUAUUAUAUUAUAUUAAUAUAAUAUAUAUAUAUAUAUAGUAAAGUAAAUGAAAUAAAGAAACAAAAGAAAAAGAAAGGAGAAAGAGUAGGGACGAAAUAAGGGAAGGAAAGAAGGAAAAACAAAGGAAAGAAAGAAAAAGGGAAAAUUGGGGGUUUGAUGCUUCAAGCUUAAAUAGGUAAGUCAAUUUAGCCCUUUUUACUUAAUUUUUAUGUUUUAGAAGCUUUGGAACAAGGUUUUGAUGAAAUUAAGUUGAUAUAUUGAAAGUUAUUGGAUUUCUAAAUAUGGUUCAUGUUGAAUAAAAUGAUGAAUUAAGGGCUAAAUUGAUAAAAAUUUAAGUUAGAAGUGAGAUAAGCAUUGAAUUGUAAAGUAAUUCAUAAGUUUUGAAUAGUAGGGACUAAAUUGAAAGAAUUUCAAAAUUAUGGUUCUAUGCUGAAAUUAGAGAGCUGAAAUUAGUUUAAAGUGAAAAUUGAAUGAAAAUAUUAAGUUAAAUGUAAAGAAUAAAAGUUAGUCUCGGUUUGGGACUAAAUUGGAAUUCAGACAAAAGUUGAAUAAAAAUUGAAACAUUCAAUUUGAAAAUUGUACUGUAUUAAUGAUUAUAAAUUGUAUUAAUUUUAUAGCUAACGGGGUGACGGAAAAUCUUCGGUUAAGAAAGGAAAAGACGAGGUCAACGAGGGUUAGCUUGGAAAUUACGGUUUGUGUUUUUAUAAUCCGAACUUAAUAUUUAAUUGUUGAAUUUAUUAUUUAAUGUACAGGGUGAUGCAUUAAAAAGUGAAAAUUAAUUGUUAAUUAUUAUAUUUUGAUUGAAUGUUAUGGUAAGUAAUUAAGGUAAGCAUUAUUGUGUUUUAUGAUUAUUGAAAUGAAUCAAAAUGUAUAUUGUAUUGCAACUGAAUUGCAUGUAGAUUGAUAUGGAAAAAUGUAUUAAAUUGAAUUGAAAUUAAAUUACGAAUAAAAUUGAAAAUUUAAAAGUUUACUGAAUACCCUAUUAACAGUGUCGGGCUAGUCGGAUAUAAUUGGGAUGCUAUAGGAUUGGAAGUGUUCAGGGAUAUUCUGACUGUGCGUCGAUGAGACACUAUAUGUGUCGACUACUGUGACUGUUCCGGAUUCGUUCCGAAGAGGUACUUCGUACCUGACUGUUACUGUUACUGUUUCAGAUUUGUUCUGAUGAGGUACUUUGUGUACCGCUACUGUUACUAUUACUGUUACUGUUACCCUUACGGUGUAUUUCGGCUUCUGCCGAUGAAACACUAUAUACUAUCCCCGGUGUGUGGGUUAGAUCCGUGUAUCCGUUUAGGUCCGAGUCAUGUUAAUAGGGGUAAUGAAAAAUAUCAAAGACUGUCUGCUACUGAAUAAUUGACUGUUACAGAAUAAACGACUGAUACUGAAUAAAUGAAUAUUACUGAUUAACCGAUUAUUACUGUUGAUUGACUAGUACUGAACGAUAAGAAUCAAUUGGUUGGUACCAAAGAAUAUUGACUAUUAUUGAAAUGAGAUAGUACAAAAUAUUAAAUGAAAGGUGAAUAAUAUUAUUACUCAAAUGAAUUGUAAAUAAAAGUACUGAAAAACUAAUUGUUAUUGAAUAAUGGAUUGCUACUGAAUGUCUGAAUGAUACUGAACACAGGUUAUUACUGAAUAAAUAUGAAAAAUCGACGCAUAAUGAAUAAACAUUGAAACUGUAUACAUUUCAUCGAAAGUGAUUAACAAGAUUUUAACAUUAUAUAUAUAUCAAAAAAAUGAUUGAAUUAUUAGGAGUAAUAGAUUGAAUUCUCAAGGUUCUUUGAUAUAUGAUUUAUUAUUGACUUAAGUAUCGGUUUAUAGAAAUACCACUAAGUUCAUACUCAGCGUACGGUUUGUUUCCGUGCGCAGGUUAGGUUAAAGACAGAUCGUCGAAUCAGCAUCAUAAGUCGAUCCCGAACUCAAAAAGGUAAAGCAUGUUAAUUAUCGGUAAUGGCAUGUACCUAGGAUGUCUUAAGUGUGUUAUAUUGGAUUGUAAUUGUAAUUGUAAUAGUGAAAUAAGUAAAUUGAUAAUUGAUAAUGAUACAUAAUAAGUGUUUAAAGUUAAGUAUUAGAUAAUAUAUAAAAUGCGUUUGAAUUGGUUUAAUAUUGGUAUUUGUAUUGGUUGUGGAUUAAAAUUUACAGGAUUGGUAAAUUUUUAAAAUACAAGGUUCAUUUUGAGUUCACAUAGUUUGUCACAUGGGCGUGUGCCUUGGUUGCCACGGCCGUAUCUUAAAGUCAGUUUAGUACACGGGCAGGCCACAUGGACGUGUGUCAUGGCCGUGUUUAAAAGUCAAUGUUGCACACGGGUUGAGGACACGGGCGUGUCCCAUGCCGCACGGGCAUGUUAAAUUAGCCACACGGGCGUGUGGUACUAUUCAAAAGAAGAAAAUUUAAAAUUUCACAAAAAAUUUACUAAGCUUUAGAAUUGAAUCUCGAUUUGUUUUAAUUACACUUGUAAAGUACUGUGGACCCAUUAAAAUUAUAUUUAGAUGGAUAUAUUGCAUUUAUACUAGUUUAUGUGCAAAUGUACUGAAUGACUGGUAAUACUCUGCAAUCUUGUUCCGAUAACGGGACGGGGUUAAGGGUGUUACACUUACGUAUCGAUACCAUUUUAAGGUUCGAUGGUUUGCAAAAAUCAAAUAAAAACCUAACGUAUCGAUACCCUUGUAAAGUAUCGAUACUCUGAUAUACAUUAUUAAUACUUUAGUUCAGUAUCGAUAUCAUUUUGGGACUCGAUGUUUGAAAAAUUGAUUGGAAAAUACUAAAUAUCGAUACCUUCUCCUAUUAUAUCAAUACUUUAGUGUCAAAUAUGUCAAAAUCUUCCAUUUUAGUAUCCAUUUCAUGCCCAAACCAAAAUAUACUCAAAUGGUGCCUAUAAGCACACUCCAAUUCAAAACAUAUACCAAACAUUCAUUUUACCAUUUCCAUAAUCACCAAACUAUUAUGCAUCAAUUAGACAUUUAAACAUGUCAUUUAAAGCUGUGAAUUUAUAAAUUAUUCAAACAUACUUCAUCAUUUAAUUCUAUCUUUUUAUCCAAACCAUCAUACAACCAAAUUUGCUACUCAUGUUUCAUGUUUAGCUGAAUAUAAUGCCAAACAUAUACACUUUUAUGCUUAAAUAUUAACAAUCUCAUAUUCAAGCAUCAACCAUAGUUCAAAUCAAACUCGCAUCCAAAAUAAACACUAAUAUGUUAACGUCUAAGUACAUGCCACAUAACUGAUAUUAAAACAAGCAAAAUGUAUCGAAUCGAUAACAGGAUAGUGUGGGCUUCAAGGUGAUCCGAUCGACGUGUUCCGCAAAUAAACAAUCUACAUAAAUAGGAAAAAAACUAAGUAAGCAUUUUGAAUGCUCAGUAAAUCUAUACGUACUAAAAAAAUAAACUUACCUCAAUUUACAAUAAAAACAUAUCAAACUAAUUAACUCGACAUAAUUUGUCUGACACAGCAUUUCACAAUAAUAAGAUGAUUUCAUCACACAACCGAGUCAUAUACCAAUUCAACAUUUAAUAUGGUAUUCAAUUUAGUACAAUUCACAUAGAAUCCACAAUUCAAUUCUGUAUGCAAUAUCAAAUCAUCAUAUUUGCAUUUGAACCUCAAACUCAUAACAUUUCGUUGUCAUUUCUCUUUUUUAUUAAUCAUUUAACCGGAUGAACUAUAGUAAACAUAUUUGGAUACACGCGUAACUAUGCCACACUAAUUGUUUGUUACAGCAGUAACUACACAACACCAGAGCACUAAAAUGCAAAACCCGUAGGCAACAUAUAAUUGUAUAACAAUACAUCCCUCCACCACACCGGAGUCUCCGUAGAGGCAUAUAACUCAGUAAUUUGAAAGAAAUGUUGGAUUCCGAUAUAAUCAGCAAUAACUUUGUACCAUCACAUAUCUCUCGUACCAGCGCGCAAAUAACCUUUUUGGCAUGUCAGUCGUAUCCUAGCCUUUAAUACGUUCACUCGGCACAUUUAACACAUCACCUUUUGUACCAAAUUGUAAACAAUUCUAAUUACAUUUACAUACAAACAAAAUCAUAAUUCAACAUAUAUACAUUAAAACUACAUAUAACUACACCAUAUGAACUUACUUGGCAAAAACAACAACAACAAGACGUCGAUGACUAAUAUACAAUUUGUUUAUAUUUUAAUUUGCUUUUAUUUUUAUUUUUUAAAUAUACUUAUUUCAUAUUUAUGUUUAAUAUGUAUCGGUACAAAGUUAUAGUUUUUUAAUUACAUAAAAUUUAGAGAAACAUAAUUUUAAUUGAUUUAUUUUUAUAUAUUUGAAGUAAAACCAACAUUUUUAGAGGAAUAAUCAAGUUUUUACCAUCAAAACACCAACACAACAUAAUUAUUUUAACACGAUAUGUUAACACAUUUAAAAUUAUUUAUUUAAGUUUUGACAUGAUACUACAUGAUUAUGACACAAAUAAUUUAUUCUAAAAAAAGAUUUGUUAUACUUCCUUUACGUGUCAUCAACAAGCAAACUUCAGGUUAACGUAUUCACACCGGGUGAACUUUUAAUCAGGAGAGUCUAGUGAACCUUGGGCACCAGUAGACUGGCAAACCUUCUCAAGACUAUCCUCACUAGAUUCACAUGGGGUGUUAGGUUCAUUAAUUAUUCAAUUGUUCUAAGAAGUUACAUUGCUGCCAUUGCAAAAGAACAAAAUAUAACUCUACUGUUAGCAAGCUCAUGUGCAUAGACUCUCUUGUCUCCUGUAUAUAAAUUCACUACAACAUUUGAGAAAGAGAUUAAGACACAAAAACUACUUCUCUUUCCUCUUCAUAUUUAAACCUACCUCCUCAAACAAUUUUACGAAACUCUUCUUUCAGUAGCUCAUUGCCCUAACCAAAGGUGAACUACUACUAUAACCAUUGUCUUUUCCUCUUUAUGAAUCUCAUUAAGGUCAACCAAUCAAUAUUAAUUGGGUUAGUCAAAUAUAUUUUAAAAUUAUUUGAUUAAAUGAGAAAAAUUGCUCAUUCCUAAAAUGAAAAAAAAUACUAAACAAAGUAGGAAGAUAUGAUUAAACUUGUCGGCCCGAAGGCCCGUCCAAAAAGUGGGAGAGUUUGAAUAAAAAUAUAAACUCAAAAAAUAGGCUUGGACAAAAAAAAAUAAUGCUUGUUUAGAAAACUAGUCCGACCUCAAGUAAGGCUUUUUUGGCCUGAGUCCUGCCCGAAUUUGCAAAAAAAAAAAUUAUUAUUUUGUUGUUUUCUUGCUAUUUUGUUGCUAUUUUUUUGUUGUUUUCUCACUAUUUUGCUAUAAUUUUACUAUUAUGUUGCUACUAUUUUGUUGUUAUUGUUUAGAUAUUAUAUAAGUCUCGUUUUAUUGUUAAUUUUAUUACUAUUUUAGAGACAUUUACUUAUUAAAUUGUACAUAUUUUAAUAUUAUUUAAGUAUACAUAUUUUUUAAAUUUAUUUUUAAGUUAAUGAAAAAUAUUUAUUUUAAUAUUUUUAAUAUUUUUAAUAUUUUUAAAAUAUAUAAAUAAAUUAAUACAGGUAGCCUGAACUAAGCUGAAAUUUUAAUAUUUUUAUUUCAACUAAACUCAAACAAAAUUUUAAACCUAUUUUCGAGCCUAAUCUAAAUCUAUAAAUCAAACUUAACUUUUUAUUAAGCCCAACCCCACCAACAUCACCUCUAAAUAUGAUAUAACCAGGACAAAAGAAAAACAAAAAGUAAUCGUUUACGCAUCGUGUUACGUGUUAUAACUUAAGAAGAAAAAGGCAAGAGAAAACAAACAAAAAAGAAUGUCAUGCAACCAUUUUCCAACAUAUAGCAUGUUGCUUGGUAUACCAAACUCUCCCGUGACUCAUUAUUUUUAUUAUUUUAUAUGUACCUUCAAAUUUAUAUGAGCAAAGUUUGGUGUCGCCUUUUAUUUUUUCUCUAUUUAGAUCAGAUAAUUUUAGAUACAAUAAAUUAAUAUAUAUAAAAAAAAAACAUAAAUGUGCUUAUAAAUAUAUUAAUAUAUAAAUGUCACGAGUUAAAAUUUUAAUUUCGUAACUCAAGUGGCUUUAGACGAUUUCUUAAUUUUAAAUUCGUUUAAGUUAGCUUAACUCUUAGAAAGUAAGAAUUCAUACAGAAAAUUCUUUAAAGCACUGAAAAUAAAACGGAAGUAACUUAAAAGACAAAUAAGCAACAAAACAACAAAAAAAUCUAUAAGAAAAUAACGCUCACAAAGUAUUUGAGUAAAUUGUGUCAAAUUAUAUUGACUAACUUUAUAUGAGAUACAUUUAGAUAAUUACAAAUGAGAGGAGAAAAUUCUAUUUAUAAUUGAGCUUCUCUAUAUCUAAACGUACAAUUUACUCUACAUAUCUAAAUACAAAUGAGGGAAAAUACUCUAUUUAUAGUUGAGAUCUUCAAGGUCUAACCGUAUAAUUUACUUUAUAUCAAUGGUCAAGAUUAAAGCCUAUCUAUAAUUAAGAUUAUUAAGGGAUUUACAUGAUCCACUAAGAUUAUAAUCAAAUCUUAUCAGAUUACAUAUAUUAUUUUUCAUAUUUACUUAGGUAGUCCUAAUUUUCAUUAAGCGAUUCACUACUUCUCCACAUAUUUCACAUGUUCCACUAUGUGCACAUUCAUCAAAGACUUUAAUCCACAGCACGUGGCAUAAACAUAAAUACCUAAAAAAAUUUAUUAAUUACGAAAAUACUCACUUUCAAAAUCAUGUACGUAAAACCUUCGGUGUCGUCAUUGCCAUUGACGAUACCGAAAUUUACUAUUCAAAAUAGGUCAUUCUUAUACACGAUUUUAUAAAUGAGUCAUUUUCAUAAGUAAUUAAUUUAUUUAGAUUAUUUUUGAAAAAAAAACCAAUUAUAUAUAGUAUUUUGGGGACAUGGGAAUAGGGAUCUUUCUUCAGAGUUGAAAAAUAAAUUUUUGGAGUGUGUGAGUCCCGUGAACUUAGUGGACCUACCCGUCAAAUUUUCUUCGAUUAUGACACCUAGGACAACCAGGCACAACUCUUUUUUUCAUUUUUUUUAUUUAUUGAUAUAAAAUUAUUUUAAAAAUGAAUUUCAGCUCACAAAAUAUCAUAUUUCACUUAUUCCGAAUAUGCCAAAAUGUAUGAAUAUUUUUAAAAUAUAUAAAUAAUUAAAUAUAAUUACAAAAAUUACCAAUUUGUGAGAACAUAGGGACAACAUUAAUAUAUUUAUUUGAGAAAAAGAUGGCAAAUAAUCCAAAGCUAUUAUUAGAGGGAUGGAAUUCUGCCCCUACCCGUUAUUCAUCUCUUUCUUGGGAAAAAUGUCAUCUCCUGACCAACUCAGACCAUCUCAUGACAAAACUCAUAUAUAUAUAUAUAUUUAAAAUUAUUAUGUUUACUUUUCUUGUAUUAUAUAUUUUUACUAUGCUUAAUUUUAUUUUAUUUUUUAAAUUUUGGAAUCUUAAAAUUAUCACUAUUCACGUGAUGAAACAAGGAAAUAGAAUAUAAAAAUUAAAAUAUGCCAAAAAAAAAUUUCUUAAAAAAUGAUUUACUUUAUAAUUGAAUUGAAGUAGGUUGAAAUUGUGAAAUAUAUAAAUUAUAUAAAAAAAUCUUAAAAUUAUAUAUUAACUUUAAUUUAAUGUGUAAUUGUAUACAUGAACUUUAAUUUAGUGUAAUUAUACACGUGAAAACUCUAAUUGUGGUUAAAUGUAUAUUUGAAACUUUAAUUUUGAUUUAAUCAUACACAUUUAAAGAAAUAAAUACAUCAAUUUAUUUUUAUAUUGGAUAAAUUUAAUUAUUUAUGUAUGCAAUAUAUAUAUAUAUAUAUAUAUAAAUUUUAUAUCAAUAAUUGUGUUAAUAAUUUACAAGAAUUUGAUCAAAUCAAAAUUUCAUAUAUAAAAUUACACGAAAUCAAAGUUCAUGUAUACAAUUGCAUAUUAACCGUAGUUCAUGUACAAUUUUACUAUUUAUCCCUUGAUUAUGUAAUAGUUAAAUUUCAAGUAAGUGAAGUAUUGAGUAAGAUAAAAAAUUCUAAAGAUUUUUAAAUGUAAAAAUUUUGUAUAUUUUCAAUGGAUUUAUUAUUAAUUUGAUUAUUUUUAAUCUUUUUACUUUUCGAAAUGUAUAUUUUUAAUUUCGAGGUCAAGCUUUUUUUUAUCGAUUUUGUCAAAUAAUCUGACGUGACUUAUUUUUAAAAUAUAUGAUGUUGUGAUAUAUAUACCUUAAUAAUUUUUUGCAUAUUUAAAAAGAUAAAAAAAAUAGUAUAAUAUUUAUCCAAUGGUACAAGAUAUGUCGAGAUGCAUAUGCUACAUCACCAUAUGUUUAAAAAUAUAUGAGAGAAUUAACUGAAAACGUUAUCCUCAAAAAUAAAAAUACACUUUUUAAAAAGUAGAGGGAUAGAAAACUUUCAAAUUAUAAUAGAAGCAUUAUAUCUUCCAAAAACACAUAGCACAAUGACUUUCUAUACAAUUUGAUAAAAAAAAUUUCAACCAUUGAAUAUGUAUUUAUAAAAACAACAUUUUAACCUAGUAUUUAUUGGUGGAAAAUUUUCUCUCUAGCUCUGAUACCAAUUUAAAAAAUUACGCUUAUUCUUGAUUGUCGCAAGUUUAAAUAUUUGGUAAGUUACGAUUGUACCAAGUGACAAGUCUAAAGUAAGAAAAGAAAUGAACACGAUAUACUUGUUUAUGUAAUGUGAACUCAUUAUAUAAAUGCGGAGUCUUGCCUAGAGAGCUAAUUCAUUAUACUUCCAAUGAGUACAAGGAAUAACCAAUAGUUUAAGUUCUAUACGCUCACUAUGUAGUAACCUCACUCUUCUAUUCUAAUUUGGAUAACUCUUUACUAAAGUUUUUCUCUUGAAAGAUUAGUUAUAAACUAAGUGGUUCACUUGAGUUUACUUACAAUUUUGUACUCGAAAUAUUGGGUCCUUUAUGAAAAAUGAAAAGUGUUUUCUCAAUUAAUUUUUACUCAAUACAAGCUAAACAUAUGUAAGAGUUUUAGGUUACUCUAUAAAUCAAUUACAAUCAUAUUAUCUUAUAUACAAAACGGUUUUCAAUUAUACUCGUAAAGGCUAAGGUAAGGAUUGAGAUAUUCAAAAUAUUCUGGAGCCAACAUGAUCCAAUCUCUAUAAAUAAGGAAACUUGGAUUACUUUGAAACAUUCUGAUCCAAUCCUUUGAAAUUUGAUUCUGCACAAAUGAACACCAUAGGUGACCAUAGAUAAUAUUUAGAGAUAACCAAUUUAACGUAUAACACAUUUUGGCUAAAAAAGAUUGCCAACACAAAUAAGAUGAGUUUUGGUUUAUUCGAACUAUGUUUCAAGUUAGAACUUUUGCCGUAAUUAGAAAUAAAAAAUACUUCUAAAACUUGUAUUAAAAAUAAAAAAAUAGUUUUCUCAAUUAAGUAAUGUCUAAGGUAAAUAUUAUUAUAGUGAGAUCUUUUUUAAAUUAACGACCAAAUAAGGACAUUGUAAUAAUUUGAUCAAACCAUCUAAAAAGUUAGGAACUUGAGUUGGUGACCUAAACAUUGUUAAAUCAGGUAUUGAAUUAGUUACUUUUAUUUAAAAAUUAGUUUAUUUAUUUUAUGUCGAAAGUAGUUGAACUGUUUAAAAGAUAAAUUUACAUUUCUCAAUGUAAAUCUUACGUGACACGAUCAACAAAGGAUUGAUGUUUCUUCUCCUCCUUAUUUACUUCGAUCAUUGAUUUAAAAGACACCCACUAUAAUAAAAUCUUUAAAUAGAUAUCACUCAAUGUUGUUUGAGUCAGACCAUAUCAGCCGAUCAAAUUAACUGGAUCGAUAAUCAAUCAAAGUACUAAUCCGAAAAAUAGCUUUAGAUUAACUAAAUCAAGAAUUGAUAUUAACCGAUUAAACCUACUCUAAACCAAUUGAAUCGGUGGAGCCGAAUUUUUAAAAUUUUAACAUUGAUGCGACACUCAAUUGAUAUUAUAAAGAUGCCAAAUUGAUUCAGAAUUUACACAGAUAUAUAUAUAUAUACAUGCAAUCUUUGUUCCAACUGAAACAACUUCCGGUUGUUUUAAUGGCAAGUCUAGUUUUAAUGCACACUUCUCUCCUAUUUUUAUCCACUCUUUUUAUUUGUGUUCAUCUCUCAGACCAGUUUCAACCAUUUCAAUACAAUGCUCUCAAGCAAAUCCAGCAGUUCCUCAAUUACCCAUCGGUUCUUACCAUCUUUGACAGCACUUGGGAUUUCUGCAACGUCGAACCAUCGCCAUUUUUAACUAUAGUUUGUUACGAAGACAAUGUAACCCAGCUUCACAUCACAGGCAACAAUGGCGUUUUCCCACCAUCGUUGCCCCAAAAUUUCUCCAUUGAUGCUCUGUUUUCAAGCAUUUCAAGUUUAUCAAAUCUCAAAGUCCUUUCUUUGGUUUCAUUAGGUUUAUGGGGUCCUUUACCUGCUACUAUCGGUAAGCUUUCUUCCAUGGAAAUACUCAAUUUAAGCUCCAAUUACAUCGAUGGUUUUAUCCCUUUGGAACUUUCAUAUUUGAACAAUUUGCAGACACUUGUUCUUGAUCAUAACAAGUUCACUGGUCAAAUCCCUCGGUGGGUUUCUUCUUUUAAUGAUUUAGCUGUUUUGAGUUUGAAAAAUAAUUCACUUUUUGGGUCACUUCCAAGCUCCAUUUCAAGCUCUGACAACCUUCGAGUUUUGGCUAUGGCGGAUAAUCAUUUAUUUGGGGAAAUACCCGGUCUUCAAAACUUGACAAAUCUUCAAAUACUUGAUCUAAAAAACAAUUAUUUUGGCCCAAAUUUCCCUGUUCUACAUCACAAGGUCGUCACUGUUGAUAUCCGUAACAACAGUUUUAAAUCCAGUGUUCCAAAUGAAUUAAACUCUUAUUUUCAGCUUGAAAAGCUUGAUAUCUCCAUUAAUGGACUCAUUGGACCUUUCCCUCCAUCUUUAUUUUCACUGCCUUCCAUUAAUUACAUCGAUAUCUCCGGUAAUAAACUCACCGGCAAGCUGUUUCAAAACAUGUCUUGCAAUGCACACCUUGUGUUUAUUAAUUUGUCUUCGAAUCUUUUAACCGGCGAGCUGCCGGCGUGUCUGCAAGAAAAAGUCGAGGAAGGGGCUGUUUCUUAUGACGGGAACUGCUUGUCCGGUGAAGAAGGAAAUCAAAAGCCUUCGAGUUUCUGCCAUAACGAAGCGUUGGCCGUCGAAGUUUCGCCUCAAAAGUUGCGGCAUAAAGAACGUAAAGCCAUGGCUGUGCUUGUAUCGAGUUUAGUGGGAGGGAUCGUUGGAUUAGCUGUGAUAGUUGGUUUGAGUUUAUGGGUUUUUCAGAGAAGAAAUAGAAGGGCGGCCAUGAAAGGACCUUCAACAAGGUUGAUAACUGAGAAGCUUUCAACAGUUAAUACAGUGAAGCUAUUAUCUGAUGCAAGUAAGAUUCGCUCUCUCUCUCUCUCUCUCUCCAUUUUUCAACCUCUAAUCCUAAAAAAAUCAAUGUAAAAUUAAAAAUAAUUUUAUACAUUUUCAUAAUUUUUAUAUGAUUAAUAUUUUAACAUUUAAUUAUACAUGUAAAAUUUGAUGUAAAUUUAAAAUUUUUAAUUAUUUUAUAUAAAAAAUUCAACGAUAAAUAUAUAUGAAUAUAUAGAGUAUUUUAAAUUGAUAUGAUAGAGAUAUCGGAUCGAUUCGAAAAUUUGCAUGCAUGACAAAUAUAAUUAUAUUGAUAAAUUUAAUGUUUGAAUCGUUCAAAUAUUAAUCAUAUAAAUAGUUAUGGAAGUGUGUAAAUAGGGGGGAAGCCUAAAAUUUUUUUCAGGGACGGUUAAAAUUAAAUUUUAAUUUUUAAUAGUCUAUCUCUUUAUAAAUUUUAAAGGAUUAAAUUAUUUUUAUUAUUUUUAGGGGGGCAAAGUGUAAUUUUAUUUGUACUUAUUUAAAAUUUUAAAAUUUUUAAAUGACCUAAAUAGAUAAUUUUCCAUUUUAAGGGAUUAGGGCACCUCCCAACCCUCUAGAUACACCACUGUAUGUGAAACUAUUUUAAUUUUCAUACUAUGUAAAUGGAUCCCUCCUCAUAUAUAUAUAUACAUGUAUGAGAUAUAUGAUAGGUAUCUAUACUGUAUAUUAAGAAUUUACAGAGUUGAUAUUACAAGUAAACUGGGUAUAAACUCAAUUGGAUAAUGACUAAAAUAGUUUUACUUUACAAAGUGAAUUGUAUUAUUUUGAAUGUAUUUUAUUAUUUUUGUAAAAAAAUAAGAAAAAUAUACGCAAAUUAUAGGAUUUGAACCUAACUUUUAUAGUUAUUUAACAUUUAUACUUUAUAUAAAUAAAAAGAAAAUUAUACUAAUAUUGUUAUUAAUACUAAUUAUAAAGUUUUUAAUUCAAAGUUAAGUUACAUCAAUACAAAGACAAAGAUAAUAAAAAAGUUUAAAAUAAUAAUAAAUUAAGGGAAUAAUCUAUAUUAAAAUAAAAAUAAAAUUUUUUAUUUUUAAAUAUGAAUCAAAUAAUGCCACAUCAUUAAUUUUUAAAGAGAUAAAUAAAUUAUUAUUAUUAUACAUUUUAUUAUAUUUAAUAUCUUCUCUAAUUCAAUUUAACCUUAAUUAAAUGUGACAAAAUUAAAAAGAAAGUAUAAUAAUUACAUUUUAUGACAAUAUUUAUUAUAAUAAUCAGGAUUAAUUGUAAAAUAAAUAUUUUAUGUUUUAAUUUUAGGCUCUAUAACAUCAACAGCCUUAAAAUAUGAAGUGCCUUAUUUACAAAAUUUAUUCUCUAUAAUAAUUUUGUCUUAAAUUUUAAUAAAUUCAGUUCUAUCUUAAGUGAAAUAAAAAUAAUAAAUUUUAACCAAAAUAUUAUUUUAAUAAAAUGUUUAAAUUUUAUAUAAAAAAUAUAUUCGUAUUUUAUAUAAUGAAAACAAAUAUAUAUUAUAGUUUUAAAUUUAAUGUUUUUAAAAAAAUAUUCAAAUAUAAUCUAAAUCUUAGAUGUUGUUAUAAGUAUCUUAAAUGCUAUUAUAAGUGUAUAACAGCUACUUCUAUAUAAUAUUUAAUUUUUUGUCAAAUAAAUGAGACUGUGGUACAGAGAAUUAACUAUAUAUGUUACAUUGAUUUGGUACGAAGAUCAAGUAUAUUGUAUGCUUGACAAAAGAAAAUCAAAUAUCAUUUUAAAAAUAAAUACAAAUAUAAAUAUUUUAAGAAAAAUAAAGAGUUCGAAUAAUGGUAAGAUGUGACUAGGCCUGUUUAUGGUAUACACUCAAGUCUAGUGGCUUACCCAAUAUUUAAGAGGAUUUAAGCAAAAAUAUUAAGCUUAAAAAUGAGUUUAGAAAAAAAAUUAGGCCCGAUUAAAUACAUUCAAAGCUUGAGCCUGACCCGGCUUAUUUUUCAAAUUUGUCAUGUUUUAUAUCAUGUUGUUUUUAUAUAUUAUGUGAUUUAUAAUAUAUAAAAGAUUAAAUCUAUUGUAAUAUAUGAUACUAAACAUUAAAAAAAUAAGAUGAUUAUAUAUUAAACUAUAAUAAAUAAAAAAAAUAAAAUAUUAAAAUAAAAUAAAAUAAAUAUAUAUUUAAAAAAAUAAUAUAUGCAGUCAAAAAUGAGUUUGGGUUAACCAUUUCAUAAAUAUAGAUGGCUUUGGACAAAAUGAUAGGUCAUAUAUUAGGUUGGACCGAACUUAGACAAACAUAAAAUAUGUUCAUAUCAUACUUAAACCCGACUCAUGAACAAUUCUAAAUAUUACUUUUGGUGAUUUUUUUUUUUUUUUUUGGUAUAAAUUGCAGGGUAUAUAUCAGAAACAAUGAAGAUGGGAGCAAACCUCCCUACAUAUCGUGCCUUUGCUUUGGAAGAACUAAAGGAGGCUACUAAUAAUUUCUCUCAUCCAUCCAUCGUUGGUGAACCUUCACUUAUUCAAGUAUGUACCUUAUACGAAUAUUUUUUAUUUUAUAUAUAUUAAUAAAAAUUAAUGAAUCAUGUCAUUUUAUUUAUGUCCAAAAUACGAAUCUAAUUGCUAUCUAAUUUUUCUUAUAUAUUUUAAUCGUUGGUUGCUGGUUAAUUUUAUAUAAAGAUUCUAAUUUAGACUAUUUUUGAAAAAAGUGAAUAUUUGAUUUAUAAAUUACAAUUCGUAAUUCAAAUGACUAAUUUUAUUAAUAUUGAGAAGGGUCUUAAAGAAUCAUAUCUUUAUAUUCAUGUUGGACGAAUUAUUAGGCAUGAAUGCUUUAAGAAAAUUAAAUAGCCGGAAUAAUAUAAGAUUACAAUCUAUCGAUGUUUACAACUAUGUUACUCAUAUAAGGCGUAACCAGGGAGUUGUGCUUGUCACCUUAGUCCGGCCCUUGGGUGUAAUUGUCAGACCCGGCGGGUUGGUGGGCGGUAGUCGUGAAUAUCAUAACAAUUUUUAUAAAGUUUUUUCUUUAUCAUUGAACUAAUCAAAUUACUCAUUCUCUGUUUAAUUGUUAUAAAAUAAAAUUUUUCAAAGAAAAAAGAGUUGAUAUUUCUAUCUAAAAUUCUUCUUUGGGUAUAGCAUGUGAUUCACACUCAAGUAUAAGUGUGAUUUAUGGACAUGUAGUUGGUUAAUUAUACUGUAGUAUUGUUAUGUUCAUAUGAUUCAGCAAAAAUUAAGUUUGAUGAUUGAAGAACUUACAUUAUUUGUAUUAAAUAAAAAUGACAGAUUUACAGAGGAAAACUUGGAGAUGGAACAGCAAUUGUGAUCAGAAGCAUAAAGAUGAGAAAAAAACACAGCCCCACCAUGUUUACACAACACAUAGAGAUGAUCUCAAGACUCAGACACAACCACUUGGUUAGUUGCAUUGGUCACUGUUUCGAAUGUUGCCCUGAUGAUUCAACCGUCGGCAUCGUAUAUUUCGUGUUCGAAUCCCUUCCAAAUGGCACCUUGAGAAGUUCCAUUUGUGGUAAAUCCUAUCCAUUUCUAUCAUAUGCACGUGUUGGGAACGAAUACGUGUUUGAAUGUGAAUGUGAAUGUGAAUAUAAGCUAAUAUAGUUAAAUACAAAUACGCGUCCGAGCAGGUGGAGGGGAAACGCUGAAUUGGGCACAAAGAAUAAUAGCAGGAAUAGGGGUAGCAAAGGGGAUACAAUUCCUGCAUACUGGGAUCAUGCCAGGAGUUUUCUCAAAUCAUUUGAAGAUUACUGAUGUUUUGUUGGAUCCCAAUUUCCAUGUCAAGAUUUGCACUUAUAAUCUCCCUCUUUUAGCUCAUCAAAAUGCUGGAUUUAUGGUAUGAAAACUAGUAAUUUACAAUCAACAACAUUUAGCCACGAACUUAGUAUUCUUUUUCUUAUACUUUGGUCCUUAAACUUUUGGUUCACAUUAGUUCUUAAUUUUGACGGUUUUCUCUUCUUUUGGUCCCUAUAAUAACUUGACACUCGUGUCACAUCAUUAUAUAGACCAAAACUGAGAAAAGCUACUAGCUUCCAAGAUGAAUGUGUACAGACAAAAAAAAAAAAACUUGAAGGGCUAAAUUGAGAAAAAUUACCAAAUUGAGGGACUAAAUAUUACUUUAUCCCUAUUAUAAUUGAUAGAUUUAUUAUAAACAAAAAUAAGUUGUUUGAGUUAAAUGCAUAUUAACUUUUUUUUUUUUUAUCAAUUUCAGGGUGGUGCUGCAGUUUCUUCUAAUGGACUCAAAUCAAACAUUGGAGGAAGGUACACUUCUUAAUUUCUAAAUAACUUUAUAUAUGAUAAUUACAAUACCGAUAUACAAGUGUCUUAAAAUUUAUAUAAAAUAUGAUUAUAACAAAAUAAAUAUUAAUUUUGGCACUAAAAAUGCAGGGAAAAAGAGGUAGAGAAGGAUGAUAUUUAUGACUUUGGUGUAAUAUUGAUGGAAAUUCUGGUGGGAAGGCCAAUCAUGUCCCAAAAUGAUGUUAUGGUUGUCAAAGAUAUUGUGAGUUAUUUCUUUAAUUUUUAUGAAUUUAGUAAUAUUAGACACGAUAUGAUUAUCCGAUUUAAAAAUAACAAAAUAAAUCAUUAAAAUAUAAUAUAACAUAAAUACAAAUACACAAAAUUACAGAUAACAAAAUAAAAAACAUGAACAUGGGUUUAGGUUUUAAGGCAAAACUAAAAACUGUGUGCAGAUACAAGUGAGCAAUAAGAUGGAUGAUACGGCUCGAAGAAGCAUAGUGGACCCCACAAUUAUCAAAGAAUGCUCAACUGAAUCCUUGAAGACAGUGAUGGACAUAUGCCUGAGAUGCCUGUCCGAUGACCCGACCGCUCGACCUUCCAUUGAAGAUGUCCUAUGGACCUUGCAAUUUGCGGCUCAACUUCAGGAUCCAUGGCGACAUGAUUCUCACCACAUCCAUCGUCUAUCUGACUCGAAUCCGAAUAACUUACAAGAACAAAUUUCUCGUGGAUAAACCUGCUGAUGGCUUUUGGAAUUUAUAGUUUGCAGCCAUCACUGAUUUGUAAACUGCAUAUGAACAAGUUCAAUACUGCUAAUGAUUGCAUAAAUGACUAUUUCAUGCAUAAAUGACUGCAUAAGUCUACGCAAAUGAUAUCUUUAGUUUCAAGUUCAAUACUGCUAAUGACCAAUGUAUAUGAACAAGUCAACACCAAAUGAGAUACUCCAUCCAUUCGUGGCCCAAUGAAGUUGCUAAGAAAAAUAGAAUACCAUUGAAAAAAUCACAGACAUAUAUUUUUACUAAAGUAAAAGCUCGUAUCAUGAUGCUGCCUUGGAUCAUAAAUCACCAUCUGAGACGUAUCUGGACGAAGAACUUUAAGAGAAGCAGUUGAAACACCAGAUGGCGCUGAUGUACUCUUAAUCUGCACAAAUGAAAACAAAAUUUAGCCCAAUGAGUAUUAAUAGUAACCUGGAACAAGAAUAAAAAGAAGCGGUUUACCUGUCAUUGCAGAUCCAUUAAUAGUAACCUGGAACAAGAAUAAAAAGAAGCGGUUUACCUGUCAUUGCAGAUCCAUUAGAGAGCUGACGUAUCCACUUUCUUACCAAUGUUUUUAGCGAGCCACUGAAGAGAAUACCAAUGGAGCUCAAAAAUUUGCAAAUGCAAUUUCAAUGAUUCAAACAUAGAGGCACAGAAGCAAUUUUACGAGUUAUAGGUACAGUUUUCAAAGGAAAAAGAAAUUACACAUAAACAAGUCCCAAUUCUUUUCAUAUCUAUUGCUGAGACAUAAGCAACAAGUUUGCGGUUUUAUGAAAGAACAAUAAAGCAUGUUCAAGCUUAAAGCAUCUAAAAAGUAGAUGUUAAUCAUGUUAUCCGGACAGGUUUCAAUAAUCUGGGGCAAGAAAAGAUCUUAAUAUUUCAUUUUGACUGGAGGUUCCAAAGGCAGAUAUGCAUCUGGUACAAUCAGAAGCUCUAAAAGGAGCCAAAUUAUGCAUCGGCCUUUGCAAUGACAUUUCAAUGACCAUAACAAACACCAAGGUUAUGACUAAAAUAAAAGAAUAACAUCCCUAGUUGCUGAUACGUUCUAGAAAAAGUUGGAAAUGGUACAUGGUUAUCUUGACAUGGAAAUUUCCAACCUCAUUACAUCAAUGAACUUCAAAAUUUCCCAUCAGUCGUAAACAUUUUAGGACACACUUCUCAAAUACAUCAGAUCAACACUCACCUGCCACCCUCAAGAUUUUGAUAGAGAUCUCUACAACUAUCCAUAUCGUGGAGGAUUAAGAAUAAGGCAAGACCAAGUACCAAAUAAGGCUACACAGUUAUAGCUCAUUCUUCUGUGGACUUAUUUGGCUAAGAUACUUGCUAGAGGAACUUCAUUCAUCUUCUUAGGUUUACACCUACGCAAUGUGUGUGUAUGUGUGUAUCUUUGUACCCUUCUAAAAUUUUCAAUACUUCAAAACUGCCACCAAGCAUAAACCCUUCAUUCUUUUGGCUAGUAGAAGCCAAA